Molecule: ribosomal RNA, 119 nt
Filed under: Lupinus angustifolius (narrow-leaved blue lupine)
Lineage: Eukaryota; Viridiplantae; Streptophyta; Magnoliopsida; Fabales; Fabaceae
Source: RNAcentral
AGGUGUGAUCAUACUAGCACUAAUGCACCGGAUCCCAUUAGAACUUCGCAUAUAAGCCUGCUUGGGUGAGAGUAGUAUUACAAUGGGUGACCUCUUGGGAAGUCCUCGUGUUGCACCUC